AUACGUAGGGUGCGAGCGUUGUCCGGAAUUACUGGGCGUAAAGAGCUCGUAGGUGGUUUGUCGCGUCGUCUGUGAAAUUCCGGGGCUUAACUCCGGGCGUGCAGGCGAUACGGGCAUAACUUGAGUACUGUAGGGGAGACUGGAAUUCCUGGUGUAGCGGUGAAAUGCGCAGAUAUCAGGAGGAACACCGGUGGCGAAGGCGGGUCCCUGGGCAGUAACUGACGCUGAGGAGCGAAAGCAUGGGUAGCGAACAGGAUUGGAUACCCUGGUAGUCCAUGCCGUAAACGGUGGGCGCUAGGUGUAGGGGUCUUCCACGACUUCUGUGCCGUAGCUAACGCAUUAAGCGCCCCGCCUGGGGAGUACGGCCGCAAGGCUAAAACUCAAAUGAAUUGACGGGG
Molecule: ribosomal RNA, 398 nt
Filed under: uncultured bacterium
Lineage: Bacteria
Description: partial 16S ribosomal RNA
Rfam family: Bacterial small subunit ribosomal RNA
Source: RNAcentral